UGGGGCAUAGUGCAGCGGCAAGUACGCCGGACUUUGACUCCGGAGGCCCAGGUUCGAGUCCUGGUGCCCCGA
Molecule: transfer RNA, 72 nt
Filed under: Bacteroidales bacterium
Lineage: Bacteria; Pseudomonadati; Bacteroidota; Bacteroidia; Bacteroidales
Description: tRNA-Gln
Rfam family: tRNA
About the family: Transfer RNA (tRNA) molecules are approximately 80 nucleotides in length. Their secondary structure includes four short double-helical elements and three loops (D, anti-codon, and T loops). Further hydrogen bonds mediate the characteristic L-shaped molecular structure. tRNAs have two regions of fundamental functional importance: the anti-codon, which is responsible for specific mRNA codon recognition, and the 3' end, to which the tRNAs corresponding amino acid is attached (by aminoacyl-tRNA synthetases). tRNAs cope with the degeneracy of the genetic code in two manners: having more than one tRNA (with a specific anti-codon) for a particular amino acid; and 'wobble' base-pairing, i.e. permitting non-standard base-pairing at the 3rd anti-codon position.
Source: RNAcentral